AGAAGCUGGUAAUACUGUAACUGUAAUUGUUACUGGAAGCGUAAAGGUCAGAGCCUGGUCCCUAAUAGUCCCAAGGCUUGCGCACCUGUCCUCAGGAGCCCAGUUACACAGACAAGAGUACCUCAAAGCCGGAGUAGGAGAUAUAUUCAAACGUGGCCACUUUAGAAAGAGAAACAAAAAGGCACAGUGACUAUCCCCAGUUCAUCUUCAGAGUCCUGACAUGACAUUUGGGUUUAAAUAGGAACAAGUGGUCAGCCUUGAUUAUAUAACAAAAUUUGGGGGGAAAAAAUGAAGAAAGAAACAAAGAAGAAAAAUAGCCGGAUGAUGUUAAUGCACAUCUUUAAUCCCAGCACUCGGGAGGCAGAGGCAGGCAGAUCUCUGUGAACUUGAGGCCAGCCUGGUCUACAGAGCAAGUUCCAGGAUAGCCAGGCUGUCUGAAAAAGGCUAUUUUUUCACGGGAGGGUUCACCUUGAAGAUAAACUGCAGUCUGUUGCAGGGCUUCUUCGGGGGUGCGGGAGAGAGAGGCCCCGAGCGCUGUCUUCCCCGCGGUCCGAUGUGCACCGCCGCGCGCAUUCUUUCUGGGGCUGUGUGGAGCCUUCAGCGCUGCCCUCAGACUCAACCAGGGAACCGAUGUGAGCACGGCAGCCCAGCGGGAGAGAAGCAGACAGCGUGGGCUCCCGGGAAAGGGGCCGCCGACCCUGGAGAGGCCCUGCCUCCGCCCGCCGGCCUCCCUCUCCUAGAGCAACGAAUUUCUUUUUCUUUAUUGUUUUAACUGAUAAUUAUUGAGCUCUACAUUUUUCUCUGCUCCCCUCCCUGCCUCUUCCCUCC
Myodes glareolus (Bank vole) is the source of this 828-nucleotide non-coding RNA. NCBI's taxonomy places the organism in Eukaryota, Metazoa, Chordata, Mammalia, Rodentia, Cricetidae. The record is from RefSeq and is a predicted model, not a curated record.